CUAAAAUUCACUUUUCCCGUCUCCAUCCGACUGAGCGGCGGCUGUGGGCAACGAAACCCUAGCGAGUAAGGCGGCGGCGCAGUGCAGCGCCGCCUCCUCCCAUCCAGCUCGUGUCCCUCCCUCCCAAUCUCCUCCCUUGUCUCCCUCCCUCCCAAUCUCCUCCCUCCCAGUCUCUUUCCCGUCCAUGGAUGGUGGUGGCAGCGCCAUGGAGCACGGCUGCACAACUUCGAUGCCGGGGCAGGUGGGCUCGGGCGUUGAACGGCUCCACGGGAGCAGCAGCAUGCGGCGCAUCCAGUCGGGCUUGGGCAGUGCCCCGGCGCCGGACGCACGCGCUGGUUUCCGGCAAGCUGGACAUGGUGAUGGAAGUGCACCCUAUGUUAGUAGGGUGAGCAUCGAUGAAGCCAGAAGGAGGGAAAAUGUCAACCCCAACAAUGAAGAUAACAUUAUGAUGGGGAAUGGUUCAGCUCUAAGAGAGACAGCUUGGAAAGGGCUUGUAAGCAAUGACAUCUAUUAUAUUUGGAACCAUGGCCCGAAGUUUGGUGGGGGAUUUGAUUGUCGGUACUGCCCCCUAAUCACUAGAGGAGGAGGUGCAACCCGCUUUAGGGAGCACCUUGGAGGUAUACCAGGUGAUGUGAAACAGAGUAUCACAGCAUACUUUGACAAGGAAUUGUCGACCAACAAAGUAUCAAUGCAGCCAAAGAUCAGCACUGCUUUGAAUGUUGAGUCAAAAGAUGUACUUGGCCAAGCUUGGGAAAAGUUUUUUCAUGCUAAUGACAUUGCUGGUCUGAAAGCAAAUUGUCCCUAUUUUCGUUCGGCUGUCAAGAUAACUCAAAACCUUGGCCCAGCUCCUGUUCCAACUGCCAAGGAGAUUGAUGGGAUAUAUUUGGACAAGAAUUAUGAAGAAGCUGAGCAGUGGCUGAAGAUGUUCAAGCAAGACUGGAGGAACUAUGGUGUAACUGUGAUGUGUGACUCAUGGACAGGGCCUACUAGUAUGAGUCUCAUCAAUUUCAUGGUGUAUUGCAAUGCACGGAUGUUCUUUCAUAAAUCCAUUGAUGCUUCUGGUCAAACUCAGACUGCAGAUACGUGCUGAAGAAGAACAAGACCCGGUGAGAGAGAAUGAUAAGCAGAAGGAAGUUGAUGCAUGUGCAAUGAUGAUGCCAUGUUUGAUGCAACAAAUCCUAUGAUGGAAUGGUUGAAUGAGGAUGAGGAGCAUGCAAUCUUGGAUGGAGUUGAUGCUGCUAGCGCCGUGUUUGAGAAAAUAUGUUUGCUUAACUCAAGUAGGAAAGUUUCUCAUCUUGCAAGGAAGGACAAUGGCAGGAAAAGAAAGAGGGUAGAGGAAGAAGUGGAUGACUACCAUGAUAGUGAGGAUGAUGAAGAAGAAAAUGAGGAGCUGGACCUGGAAAUUGAUGAUGAUGAUGAUAGCCAUGAUGAUGGUGCAAGUCAAUCUGAUAGAGGAUUCGCCAAUGCAAAUUGAAAAGGAUUUAACAAGCCAAGUUGGAAACAAUGUUGAGGUAACAAGUGAUGGUAGUUUGGUGAACCGUAGAUCUGAACGGGUUAGGCAAGCCAAGAAGGUCAAGGAGGUCACCAGCCUUUACAAUUGACAAGUUAAGCGGCAUGGGAGCAAAAGAGCUUUUGGUUUGAUGAAGACUAACGGGUGGAUGAACAGGAAGUCCGAAGUGAAGGUCUCUGUUCGAUUCAAUACUUUUGGUGCAAGACUGAAGAGUUGAAGAACAGGAAGUCUGAAUUGAACUUUUUGUUUGUAUUUUGGGGUCGACAUAAUUGAACUUUGAAUGUCGUGUUAAAUUCAUUGUGGACUGUAAUUCUGAACCUUAUGGGUGUUCGUUUCGACUCUUGGUAGAAUUAUUAAGUCGCAUGUUACUCUUAGUAUCUGAACUAUCAAGUCACAUGUUAAUCUGGACUAUCAUGUUGCUUUUCUAGUGGUUGCUGCUCUCCGAAUUGAUCCACUAUGCUAUUAUCUGAAUGGUUGCAACUGGAGUGUUGAUGUUUAGUCUGAUACGUAGUGAUUUGAUGAAUAGAUUCAGCUGUUUGAUUUUUACAUGCAUAUUUUGCUAAAAGUUCUGAAUACUCAUCUGUUGUUCUGUUGUAUUUCAAAAUUUUAGGCAAAUUUCGCCCAUUUUUCGUUCAUUUUUCGUUCAGUUUUCGUCCCAAAAUUCA
This 2175-nucleotide ribosomal RNA is filed under the name Triticum aestivum (bread wheat). RNAcentral's name for it is "partial small subunit ribosomal RNA". Lineage: Eukaryota; Viridiplantae; Streptophyta; Magnoliopsida; Poales; Poaceae. The record is from RNAcentral.